GUGCCAUUGCAUUAGCUAAAAAUA
This 24-nucleotide non-coding RNA is filed under the name Arabidopsis thaliana (thale cress). The record is from RNAcentral. Lineage: Eukaryota; Viridiplantae; Streptophyta; Magnoliopsida; Brassicales; Brassicaceae.